CGGCUCUCGCGCGACUGGCGACUUUGGAUGGAGCACCAUCGGGAAGCGCGAGGGUAAUCGCCGCGCGCCUGGGCAUAAGCA
Molecule: non-coding RNA, 81 nt
Filed under: Bradyrhizobium lablabi
Lineage: Bacteria; Pseudomonadati; Pseudomonadota; Alphaproteobacteria; Hyphomicrobiales; Nitrobacteraceae
Description: ZTP sequence
Rfam family: ZMP/ZTP riboswitch aptamer (pfl RNA motif)
About the family: Previously known as pfl RNA.
Source: RNAcentral